CGCGGGGUGGAGCAGCCCGGUAGCUCGUCAGGCUCAUAACCUGAAGGCCGCAGGUUCAAAUCCUGCCCCCGCAA
This is a transfer RNA of Gemmobacter megaterium, 74 nucleotides long. It matches the Rfam family "tRNA". Rfam says of the family: Transfer RNA (tRNA) molecules are approximately 80 nucleotides in length. Their secondary structure includes four short double-helical elements and three loops (D, anti-codon, and T loops). The record is from Rfam. NCBI's taxonomy places the organism in Bacteria, Pseudomonadati, Pseudomonadota, Alphaproteobacteria, Rhodobacterales, Paracoccaceae.